RNAcentral lists this ribosomal RNA (404 nucleotides) under uncultured bacterium. RNAcentral describes it as "bacterial SSU rRNA". It matches the Rfam family "Bacterial small subunit ribosomal RNA", at positions 355 to 776 of the family's 1533-position model. The record is from RNAcentral.
UGGGGAAUCUUGGACAAUGGGGGAAACCCUGAUCCAGCAAUUCCGCGUGAAUGAUGAAGGCCUUAGGGUUGUAAAGUUCUUUUAGUAAGGAAGAUGAUGACGGUACUUACAGAAAAAGCUCCGGCUAACUCCGUGCCAGCAGCCGCGGUAAUACGGAGGGGGCAAGCGUUGUUCGGAAUUACUGGGCGUAAAGAGCGAGCAGGUGGUUCAUUAAGUCAAUUGUGAAAGCUCAAGGCUUAACCUUGAAAUUGCUUUUGAUACUGAUGAACUAGAGUUUGGGAGAGGAUAGUGGAAUUCUAAGUGUAGAAGUGAAAUUCGUAGAUAUUUAGAGGAACACCGACAGCGAAGGCAACUAUCUGGCCCUUUACUGACACUCAGAAGCGAAAGCUUGGGUAGCAAACAGG